GUCCGGGUGGCGGAAUGGCAGACGCGCUAGCUUGAGGUGCUAGUGCCCUUCAACGGGCGUGGGGGUUCAAGUCCCCCUCCGGACA
This 85-nucleotide transfer RNA is filed under the name Angustibacter sp. Its description in RNAcentral is "tRNA-Leu". It matches the Rfam family "tRNA". From Rfam's summary of the family: Transfer RNA (tRNA) molecules are approximately 80 nucleotides in length. Their secondary structure includes four short double-helical elements and three loops (D, anti-codon, and T loops). Lineage: Bacteria; Bacillati; Actinomycetota; Actinomycetes; Kineosporiales; Kineosporiaceae. RNAcentral also lists the same sequence under 3 other names. The record is from RNAcentral.